UGCAGUCGAACGAGUUCUGAUUAUUGAAAGGUGCUUGCAUCUUGAUUUAAUUUUGAACGAGUGGCGGACGGGUGAGUAACACGUGGGUAACCUGCCCUUAAGUGGGGGAUAACAUUUGGAAACAGAUGCUAAUACCGCAUAAAUCCAAGAACCGCAUGGUUCUUGGCUGAAAGAUGGCGUAAGCUAUCGCUUUUGGAUGGACCCGCGGCGUAUUAGCUAGUUGGUGAGGUAACGGCUCACCAAGGCAAUGAUACGUAGCCGAACUGAGAGGUUGAUCGGCCACAUUGGGACUGAGACACGGCCCAAACUCCUACGGGAGGCAGCAGUAGGGAAUCUUCCACAAUGGACGCAAGUCUGAUGGAGCAACGCCGCGUGAGUGAAGAAGGCUUUCGGGUCGUAAAACUCUGUUGUUGGAGAAGAAUGGUCGGCAGAGUAACUGUUGUCGGCGUGACGGUAUCCAACCAGAAAGCCACGGCUAACUACGUGCCAGCAGCCGCGGUAAUACGUAGGUGGCAAGCGUUAUCCGGAUUUAUUGGGCGUAAAGCGAGCGCAGGCGGUUUUUUAAGUCUGAUGUGAAAGCCCUCGGCUUAACCGAGGAAGUGCAUCGGAAACUGGGAAACUUGAGUGCAGAAGAGGACAGUGGAACUCCAUGUGUAGCGGUGAAAUGCGUAGAUAUAUGGAAGAACACCAGUGGCGAAGGCGGCUGUCUGGUCUGUAACUGACGCUGAGGCUCGAAAGCAUGGGUAGCGAACAGGAUUAGAUACCCUGGUAGUCCAUGCCGUAAACGAUGAAUGCUAGGUGUUGGAGGGUUUCCGCCCUUCAGUGCCGCAGCUAACGCAUUAAGCAUUCCGCCUGGGGAGUACGACCGCAAGGUUGAAACUCAAAGGAAUUGACGGGGGCCCGCACAAGCGGUGGAGCAUGUGGUUUAAUUCGAAGCAACGCGAAGAACCUUACCAGGUCUUGACAUCUUUUGAUCACCUGAGAGAUCAGGUUUCCCCUUCGGGGGCAAAAUGACAGGUGGUGCAUGGUUGUCGUCAGCUCGUGUCGUGAGAUGUUGGGUUAAGUCCCGCAACGAGCGCAACCCUUAUGACUAGUUGCCAGCAUUUAGUUGGGCACUCUAGUAAGACUGCCGGUGACAAACCGGAGGAAGGUGGGGAUGACGUCAAAUCAUCAUGCCCCUUAUGACCUGGGCUACACACGUGCUACAAUGGAUGGUACAACGAGUUGCGAGACCGCGAGGUCAAGCUAAUCUCUUAAAGCCAUUCUCAGUUCGGACUGUAGGCUGCAACUCGCCUACACGAAGUCGGAAUCGCUAGUAAUCGCGGAUCAGCACGCCGCGGUGAAUACGUUCCCGGGCCUUGUACACACCGCCCGUCACACCAUGAGAGUUUGUAACACCCGAAGCCGGUGGCGUAACCCUUUUAGGGAGCGAGCCGUCU
This 1439-nucleotide ribosomal RNA is filed under the name Lacticaseibacillus rhamnosus. RNAcentral's name for it is "bacterial SSU rRNA". It matches the Rfam family "Bacterial small subunit ribosomal RNA". The record is from RNAcentral. Lineage: Bacteria; Bacillati; Bacillota; Bacilli; Lactobacillales; Lactobacillaceae.